GGAACCAUUGCUUAGCUCGCUAAAGUGCCUGCCUAGUAAGCAGGAGUUCCUGGGUUCAGCUCUUAGUGGUGCCU
RNAcentral lists this transfer RNA (74 nucleotides) under Sphaerodactylus townsendi. RNAcentral's name for it is "tRNA-Thr". It matches the Rfam family "tRNA". Rfam says of the family: Transfer RNA (tRNA) molecules are approximately 80 nucleotides in length. Their secondary structure includes four short double-helical elements and three loops (D, anti-codon, and T loops). Further hydrogen bonds mediate the characteristic L-shaped molecular structure. tRNAs have two regions of fundamental functional importance: the anti-codon, which is responsible for specific mRNA codon recognition, and the 3' end, to which the tRNAs corresponding amino acid is attached (by aminoacyl-tRNA synthetases). tRNAs cope with the degeneracy of the genetic code in two manners: having more than one tRNA (with a specific anti-codon) for a particular amino acid; and 'wobble' base-pairing, i.e. permitting non-standard base-pairing at the 3rd anti-codon position. Lineage: Eukaryota; Metazoa; Chordata; Lepidosauria; Squamata; Sphaerodactylidae. The record is from RNAcentral.